CGUGUCCUACGGGGGGCAGCAGUGGGGAAUAUUGCACAAUGGGGGGAACCCUGAUGCAGCGACGCCGCGUGAAGGAAGAAGUAUCUCGGUAUGUAAACUUCUAUCAGCAGGGAAGAAAGAGGACGGUACCUGACUAAGAAGCCCCGGCUAACUACGUGCCAGCAGCCGCGGUAAUACGUAGGGGGCGAGCGUUAUCCGGAUUUAUUGGGUUUAAAGGGUGCGUAGGCGGAACAUUAAGUCAGCGGUAAAAUCGAGGGGCUCAACCCCUUUAAGCCGUUGAAACUGGUGAUCUUGAGUGGGCGAGA
RNAcentral lists this ribosomal RNA (305 nucleotides) under uncultured bacterium. RNAcentral describes it as "bacterial SSU rRNA". It matches the Rfam family "Bacterial small subunit ribosomal RNA", at positions 333 to 655 of the family's 1533-position model. The record is from RNAcentral.